AACGAACGCUGGCGGCAGGCUUAACACAUGCAAGUCGAACGGGUGUAGCAAUACAUCAGUGGCAGACGGGUGAGUAACACGUGGGAACCUUCCUAGGGGUACGGAACAACUCAGGGAAACUUGAGCUAAUACCGUAUACGUCCGUGAGGAGAAAGAUUUAUCGCCCUUAGACGGGCCUGCGUCGGAUUAGCUGGUUGGUGGGGUAACGGCCUACCAAGGCGACGAUCCGUAGCCGAUCUUAGAGGAUGAUCAGCCACACUGGGACUGAGACACGGCCCAGACUCCUACGGGGGGCAGCGGUGGGGAAUCUGGGACAAUGGGCGCAAGCCUGAUGCAGCGACGCCGCGUGAGGGAUGCCGGCCUUCGGGUUGUAAACCUCUUUCAGCACCGACGAAGCGCAAGUGACGGUAGGUGCAGAAGAAGGACCGGCCAACUACGUGCCAGCCGCCGCAGUAA
RNAcentral lists this ribosomal RNA (456 nucleotides) under uncultured bacterium. RNAcentral's name for it is "partial 16S ribosomal RNA". It matches the Rfam family "Bacterial small subunit ribosomal RNA", at positions 29 to 523 of the family's 1533-position model. The record is from RNAcentral.